This 468-nucleotide ribosomal RNA is filed under the name uncultured bacterium. Its description in RNAcentral is "partial 16S ribosomal RNA". It matches the Rfam family "Bacterial small subunit ribosomal RNA", at positions 28 to 507 of the family's 1533-position model. The record is from RNAcentral.
GACGAACGCUGGCGGCGUGCUUAACACAUGCAAGUCGAACGGAAAGGCCCUGCUUUCUUGGUGUGCUCGAGGCGCAAACGUGUGUGUAACACGAGUAUAAUCUCCCUUUCUCUUUGGUAUAACUUCAGAAAACUGUGUCUAAUACCAUAUGAGCGCUCCUCCUGCAUGGUGUUGGUUGGAAAGGUUCUGUGGUUGUGAAUGGACUGCCGGCUUAUCAGCUUGUUGGUGGGGUAGUGGCUCACCAAGGCUUUGACGGGUAGCCGGCCUGAGAGGGUGACCGGCCACACUGGGACUGAGACACGGCCCAGACUCCUACGGGAGGCAGCAGUGGGGAAUAUUGCACAAUGGGCGGAAGCCUGAUGCAGCGACGCCGCGUGCGGGAUGACGGCCUUCGGGUUGUAAACCGCUGUUAGCAGUGAAGAAGAGAGAGUGACGGUACCGGGUAAGGAAGCACCGGCUAACUACGUG